Molecule: non-coding RNA, 651 nt
Organism: Lolium perenne
Lineage: Eukaryota; Viridiplantae; Streptophyta; Magnoliopsida; Poales; Poaceae
Source: RefSeq, a predicted model, not a curated record
UUGACAUUCUCUCGCUUCUCAUUCCCGGCGGUGACGGCGAAUCGUAGCCCCGCCUUGGCGACUUCUUUCGUCAUCGACGGCUUCCUUGGUGGCUGGAUCUGGAGGUCGGGCCCAACGCGUACCUACUCUUGUCGUCGAUGGGAUUGCCUGAUGCGGCCGAUCUGGAGCUACUCGCGCCGGAACCUGAGCUCUUGAUGUGCCCCUGCUCCAGCCAUCGAGCGGUGCCUGAUGGCGGCGGAUGAGGCUGCCUGCGCCGCGCUCCAGCUGCCGACGUUCCCUGAUCUAUAUAAACUAUGGAAGGAGCGCUGCGCCCAACAUUGAUACUUUGUGAAUCUGCCGCGCAGCUGCUCCUGGAGAUAGUCCAUUCGCCAUUGAGUAAAAGCUGGAGGUGCAUCCUGUGGAGCCUAUCUACCUUGAUGAACUGCAGAAGGCUGUGUUUGUCGAUAAGGCUGUGAAUUCGAGUCCAAGUCAGAGGUGAACUAUGAGUUUGUUGGUGCUUCUGUUUGCUACCACCUCCGAUGGUGUCUGUUAGUUUCAGGCUGCUGCCUCUGCUAGCAUAGAUCAUGAAUGUAAUGGUUUUAACUGACUGCUUGUUGUAACUCUGAAUAUGUGUCGGCUGUACGUGUGAAUAUUUGACAUAAGUUAUUACUG